Drosophila virilis is the source of this 1854-nucleotide non-coding RNA. The record is from RefSeq and is a predicted model, not a curated record. NCBI's taxonomy places the organism in Eukaryota, Metazoa, Arthropoda, Insecta, Diptera, Drosophilidae.
UGACCGCUUUCAUUUUUACAAUCCAUCAUCAAUUUAAUAUCUCUCUCACAUCUUCAUUUUAAUUGCAUAAAUAUCGACUAGUUUUUACCAUAACGCAAGCAAAAUGAACGCGUUUCGAGUAUUCAAUUUGAUAGUGCUGAGCUGCCUUAAAAGUACAUUUGAAGAAAUGACUUGACUUGCUCGUCGCGUAUCUCGAAAACUUGGCGCCAUUAAAUUUCUGGAAACUGCGAGAGGAUGUAUUUCUUAAUUAAGUGCGAGCAAUAUUAUGUAUUGCAUAAAAAAAAAUUAAAAUAGUGGAAGGAAGUAAAAUGUGCAUUGCAAAAUUUAGCAAAGGCAGUUUCGAAGCGGAGAUUAUUGAUUCGCGAGAAGAUCGUGAAAUACUGGACCAGCAAUGUCAAUAACUUAAUAAGGACUUACUAGAAGCAGAUACUAAGUUAAAUGAAAGUGAAGCAACAACGAACGAUGAUAAAUCCGAGGAGCCAUUAGCAGCUUAUAAGUCAAAUACUGACACAACAAAUAAAAGCAACCUGGGACAAUUUGAAGCUUUCGCUAUUUUGUGUUCGUUUCAGGUGUCUUGUGCCCGUCUUAUAUUAACAUGUAAAAUAAAUAAAUGUAUUAAUAAAAUACUUAUACCUUAACAUAAUAGACAAAGACUGGCCUCUAAAUGGCUAGAUUCCCCAGCAUAAGCAUUUUAUACAUUUAAAUCGCUUGCUAGUUUGUGUUCGUUUCAACUGUCUUGUGCUCGUCUUAUAUUUAUAUAUUUCUAACAAAGAUGCAUCCGAACAAUUUAUAAACACAACUCAAAAUACAUCGGCUAAUAGUGGAUCUUUAGGAUAGGAUAGAUUCAUCGGCAAAAAAUCAAAAUCAUUCCACGAUAAACGAUUCAUUUCAAUCGCUUAAUACUAAUUGUCCAGAUUCCACGCAAGGAUUCGAUUCCAGUUAUGCUCCGGAUAUAACUAACCGGUCCAGCAUUUUAAAUAAUUCCAACAUUAAACAAGUUUUUUCUUACACAACCCUUUUUUAAAACCCAAACAAAUUGUAAGAAACAUUUUUGCUUAUUUUGCAAUAAAUUGCAAACAAAAUUUGCUCGUCACUUGCAGAUUGUUCAUAAAAAUGAGCUGCAAGUACAAAAAUGUUUGUUCCUGUCGAAAAAUGACAAAACUCGCAGAUUACUUAUUGAUGAGAUUAGGAAAAAUGGUGAUUAUAUCCAUUAUAUCGAUGCAUCGUUAAAUAACGGAACUCUAAUCGUGCCUCGUCAAAAGCGUGUAAACUCUAAAAACGAAGCGGUUGAUUUCAUAUGUGGCAAGGAAUGUUCCGGAUUUUUCCCCAAAAGCACAAUACGGAGUCAUAUUAAUAAUUGCAAAGGGAGCGAUCAUAAGAAAGGAACUCGUGACUUGCUUAAACAAGGUCGCUCCAAAACUUGCUUCAAAACGGCUUCAUCCAUAAAAGUGCAAAUGACGUUGUGCGCACAAAAAUAAUGCCUGUUUUAAAUGAUGAUCCCAUUUCUAGAAAUCUUAUAUAUGAUGAAUUGAUUGUUUUAUUCGCAAACGCAGAAUCUAUGAAGCACGGCGAACUUCAGUACGAUAUGAUCAGAGCAAACAUGAGAUUGCUCAGCAGACUUUUACAUGAAAUAAAAAAAUCAGAAUCUAAUGAGAUACAGGAACUUAUAGACGCCAUUAAUCCCAAACAUUUGGAUUUGAUGAUAUCUUGUAUCAGAAAAGUGGCUCAGUGGGACUCUUCUUCGAUGUUUUUUAAAACACCUUCAGUUGCAACGAACCUUACAACUCUAAUUAAAAAGUGCGCAAAAAUAUUGUGGACUCAUUGCAUUAAAACACAAAAUCAUGCAAAAAAAAA